AGAGUUUGAUCCUGGCUCAGGAUGAACGCUGGCGGCGUGCCUAACACAUGCAAGUCGAACGAAGAGGCUCCUUCGGGAGUACUUCAGUGGCGGACGGGUGAGUAACACGUAGGUGACCUGCCCCGAAGCAGGGGAUAACGGCUCGAAAGGGCCGCUAAUACCCAAAAGGGUCGCGAGUCGCAUCGCGAUCAGAGUUACGGCGUUUCGGGAGGGGCCUGCGGCCCAUCAGCUAGUUGGUAGGGUAAUGGCCUACCAAGGCGACGACGGGUAGGGGGCCUGAGAGGGUGAUCCCCCACAUUGGCACUGACACACGGGCCAAACUCCUACGGGAGGCAGCAGUGAGGAAUAUUGAGCAAUGGGCGAAAGCCAGACUCAGCAACGCCGCGUGGACGAUGAAGGCCUUCGGGUCGUAAAGUCCUUUUCAGGGGGACGAGUGAGGACGGUACCUCUGGAAUAAGUCACGGCUAACUACGUGCCAGCAGCCGCGGUAAAACGUAGGUGGCGAGCGUUAUCCGGAUUCACUGGGCGUAAAGCGCCUGCAGGCGGUCUUGUAAGUGGGGUGUUAAAUCUCCCGGCUUAACUGGGAGGGGUCAUUCCAUACUGCGAGACUGGAGGGCAGAAGAGGGAAGCGGAAUUCCCGGUGUAGUGGUGAAAUGCGUAGAUAUCGGGAGGAACACCAGUGGCGAAGGCGGCUUCCUGGCCUGCUCCUGACGCUAAGAGGCGAAAGCUAGGGUAGCGAACGGGAUUAGAAACCCCGGUAGUCCUAGCCGUAAACGAUGGAUGCUAGGUGUAGGUGGUCCUAACCCCAUCUGUGCCGAAGCUAACGCGUUAAGCAUCCCGCCUGGGGACUACGGCCGCAAGGUUAAAACUCAAAGGAAUUGACGGGGACCCGCACAAGCAGCGGAGCGUGUGGUUUAAUUCGAGUUUAAUUCGAUGCUACACGAAGAACCUUACCCAGGUUUGACAUGCAGGUAGUAGUGAAGCGAAAGCGGAACGACCCUUCGGGGAGCCUGCACAGGUGCUGCAUGGCUGUCGUCAGCUCGUGCCGUGAGGUGUUUGGUUAAGUCCACUAACGAGCGCAACCCUUGUCGUCAGUUACAUGUGUCUGACGAGACUGCCGGCCUUAAGCCGGAGGAAGGUGGGGAUGAUGUCAAGUCAGCAUGGCCUUUAUAUCUGGGGCUACACACACGCUACAAUGGCCGGUACAAUGGGUCGCCAACCCGCGAGGGGGAGCCAAUCCUA
Molecule: ribosomal RNA, 1242 nt
Filed under: alkali sediment metagenome
Description: bacterial SSU rRNA
Rfam family: Bacterial small subunit ribosomal RNA
Source: RNAcentral